UACGUAGGGUGCGAGCGUUGUCCGGAAUUACUGGGCGUAAAGGGCUCGUAGGCGGCCAACUAAGUCAGACGUGAAAUCCCUCGGCUUAACCGGGGAACUGCGUCUGAUACUGGAUGGCUUGAGAUUGGGAGAGGGAUGCGGAAUUCCAGGUGUAGCGGUGAAAUGCGUAGAUAUCUGGAGGAACACCGGUGGCGAAGGCGGCAUCCUGGACCAACACUGACACUGAGGAGCGAAAGCCAGGGGAGCAAACGGG
This 253-nucleotide ribosomal RNA is filed under the name uncultured bacterium. RNAcentral's name for it is "partial 16S ribosomal RNA". It matches the Rfam family "Bacterial small subunit ribosomal RNA", at positions 524 to 776 of the family's 1533-position model. The record is from RNAcentral.